RNAcentral lists this ribosomal RNA (444 nucleotides) under uncultured bacterium. Its description in RNAcentral is "partial 16S ribosomal RNA". It matches the Rfam family "Bacterial small subunit ribosomal RNA", at positions 354 to 796 of the family's 1533-position model. The record is from RNAcentral.
GUGAGGAAUAUUGGACAAUGGAUGGAAAUCUGAUCCAGCCAUGCCGCGUGCAGGAAGACGGCCCUAUGGGUUGUAAACUGCUUUUAUACGGGAGCAAUAAGGUCUAUGCAUAGAUUGAUGAGAGUACCGUAUGAAUAAGCAUCGGCUAACUCCGUGCCAGCAGCCGCGGUAAUACGGAGGAUGCGAGCGUUAUCCGGAUUUAUUGGGUUUAAAGGGUGCGUAGGCGGCUUUGUAAGUCAGCGGUGAAAUUUUGCAGCUUAACUGUAAAAGCGCCGUUGAUACUGUGAAGCUAGGAUUUGGUUGCUGUGGGCGGAAUGUGUGGUGUAGCGGUGAAAUGCAUAGAGAUCACACAGAAUAUCGAUUGCGAAGGCAGCUCACAAAGCCAAUAUUGACGCUGAGGCACGAAAGUGUGGGGAUCAAACAGGAUAGAAACCCGUGUAGUCC